Molecule: ribosomal RNA, 586 nt
Filed under: uncultured bacterium
Lineage: Bacteria
Description: partial 16S ribosomal RNA
Rfam family: Bacterial small subunit ribosomal RNA
Source: RNAcentral
UGGGAAUUUGGACAAUGGGCGAAAGCCUGAUCCAGCAAUGCCGCGUGUGUGAAGAAGGCCUUCGGGUUGUAAAGCACUUUUGUCCGGAAAGAAAUCCUUGGCUCUAAUACAGUCGGGGGAUGACGGUACCGGAAGAAUAAGCACCGGCUAACUACGUGCCAGCAGCCGCGGUAAUACGUAGGGUGCAAGCGUUAAUCGGAAUUACUGGGCGUAAAGCGUGCGCAGGCGGUUUGCUAAGACCGAUGUGAAAUCCCCGGGCUCAACCUGGGAACUGCAUUGGUGACUGGGCAGGCUAGAGUAUGGCAGAGGGGGGUAGAAUUCCACGUGUAGCAGUGAAAUGCGUAGAGAUGUGGAGGAAUACCGAUGGCGAAGGCAGCCCCCUGGGCCAAUACUGACGCUCAUGCACGAAAGCGUGGGGAGCAAAACAGGAUUAGAUACCCUGGUAGUCCACGCCCUAAAACGAUGUCAACUAGUUGUUGGGGAUUCAUUUCCUUAGUAACGUAGCUAACGCGUGAAGUUGACCGCCUGGGGAGUACGGUCGCAAGAUUAAAACUUAAAUGAAUUGACGGGGUCAUAGCUGUUUCCU